AUACUUGGUGAUCUAAAAAGCAAUGUUGAAAAAUAAAUUUCAGGAAUGUUUGGAUGAUUUUGAUCCUUUGAGUAACAUGAACAACGGGAACAUCCAAGCGCAAUUAGGUGACUUCAUAUUAAAAAGCAAAUAGACACCUAAAUUCACUUAUGAAUCGUCGAAUUUAAAUAAAUAAUCUGGGCACACAUCCAGUGAUCCACAACAUAGAUCAAUACCUCAGACCAUACACCGUAAUUUUAAGCGUCUACGUUUUUAUUUUACAGCCCACACGAAAAUAAUGUGACGACUUACGUAAUUGAGUUGAAAGGUAAAUGGGUGCGGCUGCUAAUUACCUCCAUUUUAUAAUUAGUAGUAGCUUUGAGCAGUUUAGUUGUAAAUGGGUGCCAACAUUCGUCCCAUUGUUUCGUUUACGUUUAUGCUUAUUAGCUAAAAUUUAAAUUUUCAACUUUAAAUUUAAAGUUGAUUUUGAGAUUUUUAUCGAAGUGUAACUUGAAGGAAAAUUCUAGUUAACCGGCACGACUAGGACACCAGUACGAAAAUUCUGCCUCACAAGUCUUGCAUGAUAGAAUUUAAGGGGCGCAAAAUAAAUUAAAAAGAAAGGAAGAAAAAGAGCGUGACAAAGCUUUGGAAAAACGGCGGCGGUCACGCCACCGUGGGCAGCCNN
This 664-nucleotide long non-coding RNA is filed under the name Oryza brachyantha (malo sina). RNAcentral describes it as "long non-coding RNA (OBRA_LNC001420)". The record is from RNAcentral. Lineage: Eukaryota; Viridiplantae; Streptophyta; Magnoliopsida; Poales; Poaceae.